RNAcentral lists this ribosomal RNA (393 nucleotides) under uncultured bacterium. RNAcentral's name for it is "bacterial SSU rRNA". It matches the Rfam family "Bacterial small subunit ribosomal RNA", at positions 28 to 424 of the family's 1533-position model. The record is from RNAcentral.
GACGAACGCUGGCGGCGUGCUUAACACAUGCAAGUCGAGCGGUAAGGCCCUUUCGGGGGUACACGAGCGGCGAACGGGUGAGUAACACGUGGGUGACCUGCCUCUAGCUCUGGGAUAAGCCUGGGAAGCUGGGUCUAAUACCGGAUAUGACCUCGCGGUGCAUGUUGCGGGGUGGAAAGCCUUGUGCGGCUAGGGAUGGGCCCGCGGCCUAUCAGCUUGUUGGUGGGGUGANGGCCUACCAAGGCGACGACGGGUAGCCGGCCUGAGAGGGCGACCGGCCACACUGGGACUGAGACACGGCCCAGACUCCUACGGGAGGCAGCAGUGGGGAAUCUUGCGCAAUGGGCGAAAGCCUGACGCAGCGACGCCGCGUGAGGGAUGACGGCCUCGGUU